Sarcophilus harrisii (Tasmanian devil) is the source of this 322-nucleotide long non-coding RNA. Lineage: Eukaryota; Metazoa; Chordata; Mammalia; Dasyuromorphia; Dasyuridae. The record is from Ensembl.
GCAAAGUAUUAUGAAAAACCUAAGGAGGAGGAGGAGGUAAUUGUCUCUUCUGGAUGAAGAGUGAAAAUCAAGAAAUGCUUCAUGGAGGAGCUUUCCUGAUGAGAGACCAAGAGAGAUUCUGAGUAGAUAUGAGAGGACUACUGGCAAAAACAACACUAUCCUCAGCAGUUCAUGAUCCUAAGGCACCCCCUUCUUCAACAAUAGCAAGUAAUUCAAUAAUGGUUAAACAUGAGCACUUCUUCUAUAGAUAUUUCUACAAUUAUCAUGCUGCAGAAGAAAAAACAGAUCAAAAAGGAAAAAAAAAUAAGAAAGAAAAAAAAAU